UGAAGCUGCCAGCAUGAUCUC
RNAcentral lists this microRNA (21 nucleotides) under Linum usitatissimum (flax). RNAcentral describes it as "lus-miR167a". Its record names the gene lus-miR167a. The record is from miRBase by way of RNAcentral. RNAcentral also lists the same sequence under 3 other names. Lineage: Eukaryota; Viridiplantae; Streptophyta; Magnoliopsida; Malpighiales; Linaceae.